ACCCCAGGAUGUGAUGAGUCGACA
This 24-nucleotide small RNA is filed under the name Arabidopsis thaliana (thale cress). Lineage: Eukaryota; Viridiplantae; Streptophyta; Magnoliopsida; Brassicales; Brassicaceae. The record is from RNAcentral.